This 301-nucleotide unclassified non-coding RNA is filed under the name fungal sp. RNAcentral's name for it is "partial internal transcribed spacer region". The stretch from base 1 to 46 matches the Rfam family "Eukaryotic small subunit ribosomal RNA", at positions 1786 to 1831 of the family's 1831-position model. The record is from RNAcentral. Lineage: Eukaryota; Fungi.
AAGUCGUAACAAGGUUACCGUAGGUGAACCUGCGGUAGGAUCAUUUCCAACAAAAACCAUACCAACCCACGUGUGAUCACAGAUUGUUAUUUACUCUUCAUCCCAAGGCAGUGUGGGGAUUGAGUUUGUUGUUGUGUGUGUGUCGUUGUACACACUAUACCUACGACGCUCACGAACCGUGUGCCGGCCGGGUGGAGAGGCCUUGUUGAACUACCUUGUCAAAAGGUUGAUUGCUGUCGUUUUUGGCUUACACAAAACCAAAAUGAUCAGACAACUUUUAACGGUGGAUCUCUUGGCUCGU